This is a small nucleolar RNA of Sorex fumeus (smoky shrew), 204 nucleotides long. RefSeq annotates it as small nucleolar RNA U3. The record is from RefSeq and is a predicted model, not a curated record. The transcript has a single exon. Lineage: Eukaryota; Metazoa; Chordata; Mammalia; Eulipotyphla; Soricidae.
AAGACUACUUUCAGGUAUCAUUGUAUAGUUUGUUACUAGAGAAGUUUCUCUGAUCAUGAAAAACACCUGAAACCACGAUGAGGAGCCAGAUCAUCCUCUCCUGAGCAAGAAGCCAUUUCUAGGUGCUACUUUUGCAACCGCCGUUUACUAUUGAUGAUCGUUCUUCUCUUUCUUUGGAAGAAGGGGAGAGAGAGAGAGAGAGAG